CCUACGGGAGGCAGCAGUGGGGAAUAUUGCACAAUGGGGGAAACCCUGAUGCAGCGAUGCCGCGUGAGUGAAGAAGUAUUUCGGUAUGUAAAGCUCUAUCAGCAGGGAAGAAAAUGACGGUACCUGAUUAAGAAGCCCCGGCUAACUACGUGCCAGCAGCCGCGGUAAUACGGAGGGGGCCAGCGUUAUCCGGAUUUACUGGGUGUAAAGGGGGCGUAGACGGCAGCACAAGUCUGGAGUGAAAUUCCGGGGCUGAACCCCGGAACUGCUUUGGAGACUGUGCAGCUAGAGUGCAGGAGAGGUAAGUGGAAUUCCUGGUGUAGCGGUGAAAUGCGUAGAUAUUAGGAGGAACACCAGUGGCGAAGGCGGCUUACUGGACUGUAACUGACGUUGAGGCUCGAAAGCGUGGGGAGCAAACAGGAUUAGAUACCCGUGUAGUC
This 440-nucleotide ribosomal RNA is filed under the name uncultured bacterium. Its description in RNAcentral is "partial 16S ribosomal RNA". It matches the Rfam family "Bacterial small subunit ribosomal RNA", at positions 338 to 795 of the family's 1533-position model. The record is from RNAcentral.